Molecule: unclassified non-coding RNA, 404 nt
Filed under: soil metagenome
Description: partial contains 5.8S ribosomal RNA, internal transcribed spacer 2, and large subunit ribosomal RNA
Rfam family: 5.8S ribosomal RNA (bases 1-122)
Source: RNAcentral
GAUGAAGAACGCAGCAAAAUGCGAUACUUGGUGUGAAUUGCAGAAUCCCGUGAACCAUCGAGUUUUUGAACGCAAGUUGCGCCCGAAGCCUUUUGGCCGAGGGCACGUCUGCCUGGGCGUCACGCAUCGCGUCGCCCCCCACAACUCUCCGUAAAGGGAACUUGUGUUUUGGGGGCGGAUAUUGGUCUCCCGUGCUCAUGGCGUGGUUGGCCGAAAUAGGAGUCCCUCCGGUGGACGCACGAACUAGUGGUGGUCGUAAAACCCCUCGUCUUUUGUUUCGUGCCGUUAGUCGCGAGGGAAACUCUUUAAAAACCCAAAUGUGUCGUCUCUUGACGGCGCUUCGACCGCGACCCCAGGUCAGGCGGGACUACCCGCUGAGUUUAAGCAUAUCAAUAAGCGGAGGA